RNAcentral lists this ribosomal RNA (250 nucleotides) under uncultured bacterium. Its description in RNAcentral is "partial 16S ribosomal RNA". It matches the Rfam family "Bacterial small subunit ribosomal RNA", at positions 524 to 773 of the family's 1533-position model. The record is from RNAcentral.
UACGGAGGGUGCAAGCGUUAAUCGGAAUUAUUGGGCGUAAAGAGUACGUAGGCGGCUUUUCAAGUCGGAUGUGAAAGCCCUGAGCUUAACUCAGGAACUGCAUUCGAAACUGGAUCGCUAGAGUUGAUUAGAGGAUAGUGGAAUUUCAAGUGUAGCGGUGAAAUGCGUAGAUAUUUGAAGGAACACCAAUGGCGAAGGCAGCUAUCUGGAGUCAUACUGACGCUGAGGUACGAAAGCGUGGGGAGCAAAC